RNAcentral lists this ribosomal RNA (253 nucleotides) under uncultured bacterium. RNAcentral's name for it is "partial 16S ribosomal RNA". It matches the Rfam family "Bacterial small subunit ribosomal RNA", at positions 524 to 776 of the family's 1533-position model. The record is from RNAcentral.
UACAGAGGGUGCGAGCGUUAAUCGGAAUUACUGGGCGUAAAGCGCACGUAGGCGGCGCGGUAAGUCGGGUGUGAAAUCUCGGAGCUUAACUCCGAAACUGCAUUCGAUACUGCCGUGCUUGAGGACUGGAGAGGAGACUGGAAUUUACGGUGUAGCGGUGAAAUGCGUAGAUAUCGUAAGGAAGACCAGUGGCGAAGGCGGGUCUCUGGACAGUUCCUGACGCUGAGGCACGAAGGUCAGGGGAGCAAACGGG